This 369-nucleotide ribosomal RNA is filed under the name uncultured bacterium. Its description in RNAcentral is "bacterial SSU rRNA". It matches the Rfam family "Bacterial small subunit ribosomal RNA", at positions 527 to 896 of the family's 1533-position model. The record is from RNAcentral.
GUAGGGUGCGGGCGUUAAUCGGAAUUACUGGGCGUAAAGCGUGCGCAGGCGGCUCCUUAAGUCAGAUGUGAAAUCCCCGGGCUUAACCUGGGAACUGCGUUUGAAACUGGGGAGCUUGAGUGUGGAAGAGGGGGGUGGAAUUCCAGGUGUAGCAGUGAAAUGCGUAGAGAUCUGGAGGAACACCGAUGGCGAAGGCAGCCCCCUGGGCUAACACUGACGCUCAUGCACGAAAGCGUGGGGAGCAAACAGGAUUAGAUACCCUGGUAGUCCACGCCCUAAACGAUGUCAACUGGUUGUCGGGGAAGUAAUUCCUUGGUAACGAAGCUAACGCGUGAAGUUGACCGCCUGGGGAGUACGGCCGCAAGGCUU